UCCUUUUUGUUGCGGGCGGCAGUUGACAACGAUGGCGGAAGUGAUCCACUGGGCCAACAGUACCUUUGUGGAGAGAGGCAUCAGCUCAACUCCAAGGCCACCAUGAGGAAGUCUUGGAAAAGUUUGUGCAAGAAAACUCUUUAAUUUUGCACUUUCUCUUCUGUGAUGCUUGAAAAAAGUGGGGGUUAAAGGAUGCCUUCUACAGCAUUAGAAACUGGCAUCUGCCAGGCACUGCUGACAUAGCCAUGCACCCAUGCCCACUCUUGUGAUUAGUCAUCAUGCAACUGUCGAAUGGGAAUGAUAUAUACUUGACUUUUUUUUUUUUUUACAUCAUCUAUGAUCUCAGGUUUGAAUUUGCAGUUGUUGCUGGCAAGUUUACUGAAUUUCUUUGACAUGGUACACUUUCUGAUGCCUUGCCAGUGCACACUUCACUUGAGCAGUCAGCACUUAUGGUGGAGUGCCCAAUGGCUUGUCAUGUACAUCAUAGCAUAGUGUUGAGAUGAUGGUCCCCCCCCCACCCCUAUAUUCAAGUUGAGCAUGAAGUGGAGGACAUCAUUUUGACCCUGUAUGGAAGAUACCACUUAUGGAUGUUGUCUUGGAUUAAUGACCAGUAGAUUUCAACCAGCAAAGUAUUGUAUUUUCAGUGAUACCCAACAGCUAGAUUAAGUACCUUCCAAUUAUGUGGUGCUGAAACAUUAUUUUUUGAUAGGAAUUUAUUGGGAAACACUUCUCGGCACACAGACAUGCAGUGACUUCCAUGUGCUCUUUCAUCACAAAAAUAUUUUCAGCAAAUCUUACCAGUAGUUGUUACACAAUUACCUCCAUCCACACUAUUCUUUGAUUUAUUGUGAAUUUAAUAAUUGUGUUUUCACAGUGGGAUAAAGUAAAAAAAAUUAAAAAUCUAAAAAAAAAGUAUCACACAGUUUGUUGGAAUAGUUAUGUCCCCAUCAAAUGUACAUAAUCACUUAAAAACUGUACCAAAUUAAUCACUAAUUACUGACCUGACUAUUGCAGACCAGAAAUUAAGAAUUGCCCAUUAAAAAACAGGAGGAUAAAUAGAUUAAAUUACGAUCUUCAAUGUACCAGGGGAGCUUUAUGUAAACACAUUAAUCUUAUUGGUUUUGGUACAGCCUGUUCCGUUUUACACAUUUUGGGUCAGCUUUAUGAUAUACUGUGAUGUGAUAAUACAAGUUGUCACCAAGCUUAGUACAGCAUAGGAUGGAGGUGUUGCAGAAGGAGGUACAAAAUAUAGAGGAUGUUGUCAAUUUCUUAAUUGCUAAGAUGGCUUAGAGCACCAGUGUGUUUUAGUGUGUGUUUAUAUGUGUGUGAGAGAGAGAGAGAGAGAGGGGGGGAUGAGAAAGAAAGAAAAAGAGAGAAAAGAGAGAGAGAGAGAGAGAGGCGGGGGUGUGUGUGUGUGUGUGUGUGUGUGUGUGUGUGUGUGUGUGUGUGUGUGUGUGUGUGUGUGUGUGUGUGUGUGUGUGUGUUUUGACAACACGUGGCUGGCUGAUGUCUCCACCACCACCUGUCCACUUCCCCCCUCCCCCUCCCCCUAUUGUCACCUCUCCACCCACUCCCUCAUUAAGUUAUCCCUGGUGACCCUGCUGCCACCCCAUCAUGUGAGGAGGGUGGGAUCUAUCUCGGCCGGGGUCACAGGGAUGUAGGUGGCACGACGCAGGCACCGGUUGAUUACCUCAUUAAGGGAGUCACGUCCUCCAGCCUCCAGAGCACCCAGCACCAUCUGCGGGAAAGCAUUGCACAGCUUGCUGAUUGACUUACUGGUUGAAACUGGCAUGAAAACUGCAAUGAGUUUAAUGACUUACUGGUUGAAACUGGCAUAAAAACUGCAAUGAGUUUAAUGAGAGUACAAGACCUAGUUGAAAUUAGUACCACAAGUUACUACAAAGAGGAUAACAUCACGAACUGUCUACACAAAGGUUACUGCAUUGACAGAAUAACUACAUGAUCUGCCUGCAUGCAAACAUGAUCAGCACCUGAGAGCCAUGGUCGCCUUCCUUCAGCUGCAGCAUCGCUAUCAGUGCCAUUUCUGCAGAUGACCUCACAACCUGAUUCUUCUCCUUGGUGCCAUUCACCAACAUGGGAAUCAGUGGCUUUGCAAUUUCCAUAGGCAACAAGGCACCUCCAGAACCUGCCAGAUUCUCUGCUGUAUACUGAUUUACCUAGUGGGAGUGUCAUCAGCUGCCUUGACAGCAUUGUGGAGUUCAGUGAAGAGUGGGUCAGGCUUGGUGUGGAUGGUGAUGAGGUGGGCAAGGGCAGCCCCUGCACGCAGCCGCACACCUCGGUGAGCAUCAUGCACUGCCUUGACAAAUGUUGUCUGCAGUUGUGGCAGGAAGGGCUUCAGCAUAACUCCAGUCUGUGGGAGAGAACAAUGGCAAACCUAUCUCCAAGGAUCCUGAUGAGGGGCCCUGUCACAUGUACCACUGAUGGCUUGAGUGCAUCUGAACUAGUAAGGCGGAUCACCUCUGACAACCCAUUAGCCGCUGCUUCCUUCAACUCUGGCUCCCCAUUAAGAACUGCUUCUCGGAAGAUGGGCAGAAUGGGCUGGAUGCCUGUUUGACAAAUAAGACAUGACAUCAAAUACAAUACCUAUCCAUAUAUCACAUCCUGUUAUACGUAUAAAUGUGUGUCACUUCCUAGGUGUUUACAAUCAGUCUUUAGUUUUAAGGAAUGUUUCCUUCACUCACCUUUAGGAAGACAAAAACCAGGCAUUAGUUCUUCUCCCUUGAGGUCUGACGCAGCAAAUUUGACAGCUUGUCGCACAUCUGCCACUAGAGAGCGCUGGUCUGCUGCAUCAAGACUCUGUUCAACAAUAUGUUGCAUCAAUAAACCAUGAAUUCCUGCUAUUAUCUAAUUAUUAAAUAUAAAACAAAAAAGAUAUGUACAUUUUAACAUUUCUCAAUAGUGGCUACACUUCAGGUCCUCACUUGUUUCUUUCCAUAUACUGCACAUUCUGUUCUCAUGCACAAUGACUUAACCAUAGACAAUAAAUAAAACACUAUAACCAUUCCAACACACUCUAGUUCCCCUAAACGAGUAUGAAGCAGGUGGAAUUAGUGUCAGUAAGCUGGAACUUCGUGAACAGGGUUAAAUUGAGAUUAUGAUGGAAGAGGCAGAAUAAAUGUGUGAUUUUCAUGCCCUAAAUACAUACAUCAGUGAUCA
Scylla paramamosain (green mud crab) is the source of this 3177-nucleotide long non-coding RNA. RefSeq lists it as uncharacterized. Lineage: Eukaryota; Metazoa; Arthropoda; Malacostraca; Decapoda; Portunidae. The record is from RefSeq and is a predicted model, not a curated record. The transcript is spliced from 8 exons.